GCACAUGGUGGAUGCCUUGGCGAUUACAGGCGAUGAAGGACGUAGUAGCUUGCGAUAAGCUGCGGGGAGCUAGCAAACGAGCUUUGAUCCGCAGAUUUCCGAAUGGGGAAACCCGGCCUUUUAGGUCAUUGCAUGCUGAAUACAUAGGCAUGCAAAGCGAACGCGGCGAACUGAAACAUCUAAGUAGCCGCAGGAAAAGAAAUCAACCGAGAUUCCCAGAGUAGUGGCGAGCGAAAUGGGAGCAGCCUGUACUCUUUAUCUGCAGUGUUAGCUGAACGCUCUGGAAAGUGCGGCCAUAGCGGGUGAUAGCCCCGUAGGCGAAAGCAUUGU
Molecule: ribosomal RNA, 330 nt
Filed under: Chaetoceros curvisetus
Lineage: Eukaryota; Bacillariophyta; Thalassiosirophyceae; Chaetocerotales; Chaetocerotaceae
Description: partial Bacterial large subunit ribosomal RNA
Rfam family: Bacterial large subunit ribosomal RNA
Source: RNAcentral